AGACUAAAUUAUUCUGGUUCAAAAUGGGCUGUUUUUUGAGAUUUCAGUGGAGAGGAAAAAAAGUGUUUAAGUAUUUUCAAGAGAGGUAACCUCGCUCGGUGAGCCCCGCCCGCGAUCCACGCUCUCUGGGAGCUAGGAGGGGCGCAGGAGCCGGGGUCUCUGCCCUGCCCGCCUGGCUUCCAGAUGUGGUGCAGCGCCAGCGCGCGGGGACACAGUGUCCGCCAGGAGAAGGAAGGGCCGCCCUGCACCACACCAGGCCAGCCUCUGGUGUUAAUGAGAGCCUAUAUUUGGAAGUGGCAUCUGGAGAGGUUUGCCUUGCACAAAGACCAAAUAAUUACCUCUUGGCUUUUGAAAAAGGAAGGGGGAAGCGGGAAGACAAAGGCGCCUGUGAGCGCGGAGGACGCUCUCCUGGGACUCUGGCCUGGAGCGGGACUGCAGCCUUGCGUGCGGCGAGGGCGCUGCGCUACUCAGGGCUUCCGCGAAGCCAGGGGCAGCGCGGCCGCGUGCAAAUUAAGUACUCAUGUCACCGUGUUAGCUAUGGUGGCUUGAAAGAAAUGCUUUGUAGCCCUCUAAAGGCAGGCUGAUCGGAAGAACUGGAAGAUUGCAAAGAUAAAAAGGAACUCUGGCAGAGAAGGGGGGCAAGAGGUGUACCCAUGUGUGGGUGUGUCCAUGUGGUGUGCCUGCCUUGCUCCAGAAUAAGCCUCCAUAGGUUCCCAUGGCAGUGGACAUGUUUGGUAAACUUGUAAGGUGACAAGGAAAAUUGAUCAAGUUACGUUAAGAGGAAAAAAGGCAUUCCAGGCCACCAUAUCCUUAGUCACGUAGGCUA
Molecule: long non-coding RNA, 826 nt
Filed under: Homo sapiens (human)
Lineage: Eukaryota; Metazoa; Chordata; Mammalia; Primates; Hominidae
Description: non-protein coding lnc-PPDPFL-16:3
Source: RNAcentral